ACUUGGGCUGGGGGCAUUUCGUGAAGACUAGCUCUCCAUUUUCCUCUGGUUUCAGGCCAGUGGGCCCUGGAAGGGUGCUUCUCAAACUUGAACAUGCAUAUAACUCAUCCGGGAGUCUUACUAAAAUGUAGGUUCAGAUCCAGGAGGCCUGGGGCAAGGCUAAGAGUCUGCAUCUCUAACAAACUCCCUGAGGAGGCUCAGGCAGUAGGAGCAAGACCUCCCCACUCCCCUUUUCAGAGCCUACCAGAAGGAGGUGGGUAGAGAAACUGCCUGGCUAUGAGACCGUGCUGUGAGGUGGACCAAGGCUUAAGGUUGGAGACCAGGAGAGAAAACAGUUCAUGCUGUAAAGAGCUAGAAAUCUGAGAGAAGGAUCCAGAUCCUGACUCGGCUCUCCAGGCUGGUUAACUCUCUCUAGGAGUACCAGUGACAGCAUGGGAGAGUGGCAGACCUACAUGACGGAGUGGAGGGUCUCUAGAUGACAAGCUCCCUCUAAGAUUAUGAUGUCAGCAAUAGCUAACAAUUGCUGGGUGCUAGGCUAGGCGCUAAGAGAGGAGGACUGUUUGCCCCCAAUUUUACAGAUCCCCUCCAGAGACAGGCCAGGUGUUAUUGAUCUACGUAUCCCCGUUCCUGGCACAGUAUUUGUCAGAGAAGCAUGUAUGCAGUCUGUGCCAAGCACAUCACAUGCCUGCUUCCCACAGCCACUUUCCUGCGGUCCAAGGUCGCAGACCGAGGUGGGGCUCCAACUCCAGCGACCACGCCCGCGCACGAGGAGCAGCGCCCCCUAGGGAGCCGAGGGAUGGCCGCGGGAGGCCCCAGGGCCGGCAGUCGGCGCCGGGUGUCAGCAGCCAGGGCACCCGCUGCCGGCUUGCGAGCCGAGGGCCAGCAAGCAUUCCACAGCCACUGGUCUGCCACCAGCCAGGCACUGUGCUAGGAACCUAUGAGUCUGGGGCCCAGUGCCUGGCUUGGAGAGCUUGCAAUCUGGUGACAGUUACACUGUAAGCAAGUGGAUGAAAGCUACCUAUGGCAGCAGAUGCUGUAUCAUCAGUCAGAGUCCCAGUAUAAACAGGUAACACAUUCCAUUCAAGAAAGCCAUAUGCUUGAAGGUGUAUGGGUAGAGUUGAGGGAAGUCAACAAGAAAUGACCCAGGAUCCCAGGGCCAGGGAGAGAGAGGGGCUGUUACCACCCUGAGGCCUGGAGGAUGAAGGGCAGGGACUGUAGUUGGAUGGAGAAAGCCAUCAGGUGACCAGACUCGCCAUCACCUAGAAAGAAAAACAAAGAAGACCAAAGGGAAUGAGGCAGGUUUUGAUGGAAGGGAGAAGCCAGGGGAAAACCCUGCUUCACUCUCCCUGGGAUUUCUGGUCUCUGCCAGUGCCUUCCAACGGCCACCCCCAACCCAGAAGCCAGCGAUCAAGGGGGCGGCCUGGUGCUGCCCAGACGGGUCAGCCUCAGGGCAGAGAGCAGAGUAGAGAAUAGAUCUGGAUUUGCAAACAGAAGACAUCCAGCCACUGGCACAUAGUGGCAAUUAUUGGACAGUCUGGUGAUUUGGCAAAAAAGUGACUAUGAUUAAUAUUCCUAUACAGUGAAAUUCUAUAGUUUU
RNAcentral lists this long non-coding RNA (1597 nucleotides) under Vulpes vulpes (red fox). RNAcentral describes it as "lncRNA (ENSVVUG00000007258.1)". The record is from RNAcentral. Lineage: Eukaryota; Metazoa; Chordata; Mammalia; Carnivora; Canidae.